Molecule: ribosomal RNA, 490 nt
Filed under: uncultured bacterium
Lineage: Bacteria
Description: bacterial SSU rRNA
Rfam family: Bacterial small subunit ribosomal RNA
Source: RNAcentral
UGGGGAAUCUUGCACAAUGGGCGAAAGCCUGAUGCAGCAACGCCGCGUGCGGGAAGACAGCCCUAGGGUUGUAAACCGCUUUCAGCAGGGAAGAAACUGACGGUACCUGCAGAAGAAGAUGCGGCCAACUACGUGCCAGCAGCCGCGGUGACACGUAGGCAUCAAGCGUUAUCCGGAUUUAUUGGGCGUAAAGAGCUCGUAGGCGGUUCGGUAAGUCGGGUGUGAAAACUCUGGGCUCAACCCAGAGAGGCCACUCGAUACUGCUGUGACUAGAGUGCGGUAGGGGAGCGGGGAAUUCCUGGUGUAGCGGUGAAAUGCGCAGAUAUCAGGAGGAACACCAGUGGCGAAGGCGCUGCUCUGGGCUGUAACUGACGCUGAGGAGCGAAAGCAUGGGUAGCAAACAGGAUUAGAUACCCUGGUAGUCCAUGCCGUAAACGUUGGGCACUAGGUGUGGGUCUCAACCAACGAGAUCCGCGCCGUCGCUAACGCA